This is a non-coding RNA of Lupinus albus (white lupine), 446 nucleotides long. NCBI's taxonomy places the organism in Eukaryota, Viridiplantae, Streptophyta, Magnoliopsida, Fabales, Fabaceae. The record is from the annotation of a GenBank genome assembly.
UUCCCAUUUCAAUAAUUUAGGGUUUGUAAUUGAUUACUCUAUUUGGAUCCAAAUUUGUUUUUAGGUUCCAAUGUUUGCAUUCUCAUUGCUAUUUCAAUAAUUUAGGGUUUGAUGAUGUUGACAUGCCUCCAUAAUUAACUUUAGUACUAUUAUUGUCAAAGCCAAAGUUGCUGCUACUGCUAAAUCAACACUCGUUUUCAUAUUCAUACUCAUUCAAUGCCAAAAUCAACCAUCUUUCUUCAUCAGGGAUGUCUUAGUUUGAAAAAGAAGAAGAUUUGGAAGCAAGUUAGUUGGGCAUGUACUAGUGGGGUAAUUAAGUCGACAUAAGGGAGAUUAUACUACCCUCACACAGUGUAGUUAUGCGAUGCACCAAGAUUUAUUUCUUACUCAGGUGUAAUUCACAGUUAUAUGGCUUGUGGUACUAGUUUUGGUGUUAGCAAGUUUUC